GACGAACCGUGCGAACGUUGUUCGGAUUCACUGGGCUUAAAGGGCGCGUAGGCGGGUGGUCAAGUCAGAGGUGAAAUCCUCCAGCUUAACUGGAGAAGUGCCCCUGUUACUGGCCAUCUCGAGGGAGGUAGGGGCAUGUGGAACUUCCGGUGGAGCGGUGAAAUGCGUAGAUAUCGGAAGGAACGCCGGUGGCGAAAGCGACGUGCUGGACCUCUUCUGACGCUGAGGCGCGAAAGCCAGGGGAGCAAACGGG
RNAcentral lists this ribosomal RNA (253 nucleotides) under uncultured prokaryote. Its description in RNAcentral is "partial 16S ribosomal RNA". It matches the Rfam family "Bacterial small subunit ribosomal RNA", at positions 524 to 776 of the family's 1533-position model. The record is from RNAcentral.